Molecule: ribosomal RNA, 253 nt
Filed under: uncultured bacterium
Lineage: Bacteria
Description: partial 16S ribosomal RNA
Rfam family: Bacterial small subunit ribosomal RNA
Source: RNAcentral
UACGUAGGGGGCAAGCGUUGUCCGGAAUCAUUGGGCGUAAAGAGCGUGUAGGCGGCUCGGUAAGUCCGCUCUGAAAGCCCGGGGCUCAACCCCGGGAGGCGGGCGGAUACUGUCGAGCUAGAGUCCGGAAGAGGCGAGUGGAAUUCCUGGUGUAGCGGUGAAAUGCGUAGAUAUCGGGAGGAACAUCAGUGGCGAAGGCGGCCUUCUGGGCCUGUCCUGACGCUGAGGCGCGAAAGCGUGGGGAACGAACCGG